CCUACGGGAGACAGCAGUGGGGAAUAUUGGGCAAUGGGCGCAAGCCUGACCCAGCAACGCCGCGUGAAGGAAGAAGGCUUUCGGGUUGUAAACUUCUUUUCUCAGGGACGAAGCAAGUGACGGUACCUGAGGAAUAAGCCACGGCUAACUACGUGCCAGCAGCCGCGGUAAUACGUAGGUGGCAAGCGUUAUCCGGAUUUACUGGGGGUAAAGGGCGUGUAGGCGGGAAAGCAAGUCAGAUGUGAAAACCAUGGGCUCAACCUGUGGCCUGCAUUUGAAACUGUUUUUCUUGAGUACUGGAGAGGCAGACGGAAUUCCUAGUGUAGCGGUGAAAUGCGUAGAGAUUAGGAGGAACACCAGUGGCGAAGGCGGUCUGCUGGACAGCAACUGACGCUGAGGCGCGAAAGCGUGGGGAGCAAACAGGAUUAGAUACCCCAGUAGUC
RNAcentral lists this ribosomal RNA (443 nucleotides) under uncultured bacterium. RNAcentral's name for it is "partial 16S ribosomal RNA". It matches the Rfam family "Bacterial small subunit ribosomal RNA", at positions 338 to 795 of the family's 1533-position model. The record is from RNAcentral.